AAUAAUUCUGCCCCAAGAGGCAAGGAUGAACACUUGAAAAAUGGGAAGAUGGAAAGUCUCAGCAAAGAAAUAUAGGAUAUAAUGAACACUAAUGGGAAAUUUUAGAAGGGAAAAAUACAAUAACCAAAGUAAAAAUGACAAAGGAGAGUCACUGACCUUGAAGAUAGAUCACUAGAAGUUAUGCAAUCUGAGCAACAGACGGUAAAAAGAUUGAAAAACAUAAACAGAGCCUCAGGGAGAGCUGGGACAACACCAAAACGUCUAGCAUUUGUCUCAAUGGAGUCAAAGUGGGAGAGGAGAAAGAAUAUGAUGGAGUAAAAAUAUUUGAAGGGCUGAAAAUUGCCCAAUUUUGUUGAAAAGCUUAAAUUUACAAACUUGAAAAAGUCAGCAAAUUCCAAAGAGGAUAAGCUCAAGGAAAUCCCUGCCCAGACAGAAUAAAGAAACUACUGAGGCUAAAGACCAAGAAAAAUGCCUUCAAAAGAGCCAGAGAAAGAUGACGUAUAACAUAUAGGUACAUGAUGAUUCUAGUGAGUAUGGAUUUCUCAUCAGCUACUACGCAGACCAGAAGAAAGUGGAACAUCUUUAAAGUGCUGAAAGUGAAGAAUUGUCAUCCUAGAAUUCUACAUCCAGUGAAAAUACCCUUUAGGAAUGAAGGUGAAAUAAAGACAUUCUCAGAUGAAGGAAAACAAAAAAAAAAUUUGCUUCUGGCAGGAAGGGAAAUGAUACCAGAGGGAAACUUGAAACAUCAGGAAUAGAUAAAUAGAAAUGGUAAAUAUCUGGGCUAGAAGCUGAUUGCUGCGUGCACCUGUGACCGCCCAGCUGGAGACAACAGACUUGCCUCCUGCUACACCCACCAAGAUAGCAGAUCCACUACCUGCUGUGUCCAUCAAGUGCUGUGCACAGGGCAAUCUUGUGACUAUUGUGGGAGGGACAUUUCAAUCAUAUGUGAAACACCCUCUUUGAGGGUAUACAACCACCCUUAUACCCCCACUUCUUUGGAGUGCUCCGUUCCUUUGUGGAAAGACUGUCCCGGGUUAUAAUCCUAAAAUUUAAGCUCAGAAUAAACUCACCCAAAUUUUCAUUUAUAGAUUCGUUAUGGAUUAUUUUCGUCGACAAUCUAAAAUAGGGAAAAAAAAGUUAAUCUCACACAAAUUAGAAAACAGAGUGAGACAAAGACACUAUAACAUAACCAGUAUGUUUUUACUAAAUUAUUUUUAUUUAUUUUGUUGUGCUUUCUUUAAAGAUUAAAGUUUCUAUGGG
This 1260-nucleotide long non-coding RNA is filed under the name Equus caballus (horse). RNAcentral's name for it is "lncRNA (ENSECAG00000057301.1)". Lineage: Eukaryota; Metazoa; Chordata; Mammalia; Perissodactyla; Equidae. The record is from RNAcentral.